GUGGGGAAUCUUAGACAAUGGGGGCAACCCUGAUCUAGCCAUGCCGCGUGAGUGAUGAAGGCCUUAGGGUCGUAAAGCUCUUUCGCUGGGGAAGAUAAUGACGGUACCCAGUAAAGAAACCCCGGCUAACUCCGUGCCAGCAGCCGCGGUAAUACGGAGGGGGUUAGCGCCGUUCGGAAUUACUGGGCGUAAAGCGCGCGUAGGCGGAUUGGAAAGUUGGGGGUGAAAUCCCGGGGCUCAACCCUGGAAUUGCCUUCAACACUCCCAGUCUUGAGGUCGAGAGAGGUGAGUGGAAUUCCGAGUGUAGAGGUGAAAUUCGUAGAUAUUCGGAGGAACACCAGUGGCGAAGGCGGCUCACUGGCUCGAUACUGACGCUGAGGUGCGAAAGCGUGGGGAGCAAACAGGAUUAGAUACCCUAGUAGUCC
RNAcentral lists this ribosomal RNA (425 nucleotides) under uncultured bacterium. Its description in RNAcentral is "bacterial SSU rRNA". It matches the Rfam family "Bacterial small subunit ribosomal RNA", at positions 354 to 796 of the family's 1533-position model. The record is from RNAcentral.